CAUGUGGGAACAGGCUGUACUGGCAGCUGGUGCCUCUGGCAUUGUGGAGAGGAGGUGGGGGAGGGAGCGGGCACCAACAUCCUGGACUCUGGAGCCUGGCAUGAGAGCAGUGCCAUUCCUAGGUUAUAGAUGAGCUAAAUUAGCUGUGACGCUCAUUAGCGGCAGCUCCUAAUUAGUGAAAAUUAAUAUUGGCUUUGAUAAAGACGUCGGCGCCAGCUCUCCAAGGCAGAGGCAUUAUCAUCCUUGUCAGCUGGGCUAACGACUGGACGAGAAAAAUUGAGGCUCAGAGAGGUUGAGGAACUUGCCCUGGGACCUCUGGAUACCAGGAUUUGGGCCCAGGCAGCCUGACUCAAGAGCCAUGAUCCUGACUUUGGUAUUAUCCUGCCCUUCCCUUCAACCUCACCCCCAAAAGGGGCACUCUGGAUGCCAGCCCCAUCGUAUACCAGCACGUAACAUCAUAUCCGGCACACAAACCUGUACUUCCAUUUACAGCCCCUGAGUAAGUCCAGGACAAAGUCUCCAGGCUCUGUAUUCCAGAACACCGCCUCUCCAGUAGGGAAGACUCCGGGAGCAUCCUGCCUUCCCAGGCGGGAAUGGAGGCCAGGAGGCUUUGCCCAGACCUUGACUGUGCUAUUGCCAAGUGACCAGCUCUGGGGCCUGGCUCCUCUGCCACUUGGGAGAGGACUCGGCAGAUGGGCUUCCCUUCACCCCAGUCCCUGCUCCCCAGCCAGAGACCCUGAGUUCCAGCCCAGGGUAAUGAGGGGAAGUAACAGAUACACCUACUUUUAAUCCAAAUAAAGGAAAAAUGUUUGCCACCAUGGAGUUUAUAAAAAUAACAAUGCAUUAUUCGGGUAUUAAUAACAAUAAAGAUGUCAAACUGUCAGAUAAGAAGUUAAUCUCAUUCCGAGCACAAUUAAAGAUG
This 922-nucleotide long non-coding RNA is filed under the name Homo sapiens (human). RNAcentral's name for it is "HSALNT0358388". Lineage: Eukaryota; Metazoa; Chordata; Mammalia; Primates; Hominidae. The record is from RNAcentral.